RNAcentral lists this ribosomal RNA (497 nucleotides) under uncultured bacterium. RNAcentral's name for it is "partial 16S ribosomal RNA". It matches the Rfam family "Bacterial small subunit ribosomal RNA", at positions 28 to 507 of the family's 1533-position model. The record is from RNAcentral.
GAUGAACGCUGGCGGCGUGCCUAAUACAUGCAAGUCGAACGAACAGACGAGGAGCUUGCUCCUCUGACGUUAGCGGCGGACGGGUGAGUAACACGUGGAUAACCUCCCUAUAAGACUGGGAUAACUUCGGGAAACCGGAGCUAAUACUGGAUAAUAUAUUAAACCGCAUGGUUCACUAGUGAAAGACGGUUUUGCUGUCACUUAUAGAUGGAUCCGCGCCGCAUUAGCUAGUUGGUAAGGUAACGGCUUACCAAGGCAACGAUGCGUAGCCGACCUGAGAGGGUGAUCGGCCACACUGGAACUGAGACACGGUCCAGACUCCUACGGGAGGCAGCAGUAGGGAAUCUUCCGCAAUGGGCGAAAGCCUGACGGAGCAACGCCGCGUGAGUGAUGAAGGUCUUCGGAUCGUAAAACUCUGUUAUUAGGGAAGAACAAAUGUGUAAGUAACUAUGCACGUCUUGACGGUACCUAAUCAGAAAGCCACGGCUAACUACGUG